AUGCUAACCUUGAAAUUAAGAGCUAUUUGGGCUGCAUGUGUGUGGUGCAUAUGGAGAUAUAACAAUAAAGUGUUCCGAAACGAGGAAAUACAAAUGGAAAAAUUGGUAGAAGAGGCAAAGAUUUUGGCUUGGAGAUGGCUUAGAUUAAAGUCAAAUCAUAUUGCUGAUGAUAUUGUCGCAUGGUGCAAGAAUCCUAAGGCGUGUUUCGGCAAGUACGAGGAUUGA
Molecule: non-coding RNA, 225 nt
Organism: Vicia faba (fava bean)
Lineage: Eukaryota; Viridiplantae; Streptophyta; Magnoliopsida; Fabales; Fabaceae
Source: the annotation of a GenBank genome assembly